This 503-nucleotide ribosomal RNA is filed under the name uncultured bacterium. RNAcentral's name for it is "partial 16S ribosomal RNA". It matches the Rfam family "Bacterial small subunit ribosomal RNA", at positions 30 to 523 of the family's 1533-position model. The record is from RNAcentral.
AUUGAACGCUGGCGGCAGGCUUAACACAUGCAAGUCGAGCGGGGUGAUGGUGCUUGCACUAUCACUUAGCGGCGGACGGGUGAGUAAUGCUUAGGAAUCUGCCUAUUAGUGGGGGACAACAUCUCGAAAGGGAUGCUAAUACCGCAUACGUCCUACGGGAGAGAGCAGGGGAUCACUUGUGACCUUGCGCUAAUAGAUGAGCCUAAGUCGGAAUAGCUAGUUGGUGGGGUAAAGGCCUACCAAGGCGACGAUCUGUAGCGGGUCUGAGAGGAUGAUCCGCCACACUGGGACUGAGACACGGCCCAGACUCCUACGGGAGGCAGCAGUGGGGAAUAUUGGACAAUGGGGGGAACCCUGAUCCAGCCAUGCCGCGUGUGUGAAGAAGGCCUUAUGGUUGUAAAGCACUUUAAGCGAGGAGGAGGCUCUUUUGGUUAAUACCCAAGAUGAGUGGACGUUACUCGCAGAAUAAGCACCGGCUAACUCUGUGCCAGCAGCCGCAGUAA